GACCGCGUAGUUCAGUUGGCAGAGCAUUGGACUAGUAUCCCAAAGGUCGCGGGUUCGAUUCACACCGUGGCCA
Molecule: transfer RNA, 73 nt
Filed under: Paramuricea clavata
Lineage: Eukaryota; Metazoa; Cnidaria; Anthozoa; Malacalcyonacea; Plexauridae
Rfam family: tRNA
About the family: Transfer RNA (tRNA) molecules are approximately 80 nucleotides in length. Their secondary structure includes four short double-helical elements and three loops (D, anti-codon, and T loops).
Source: Rfam by way of RNAcentral